RNAcentral lists this ribosomal RNA (282 nucleotides) under Shigella flexneri. Its description in RNAcentral is "partial 16S ribosomal RNA". It matches the Rfam family "Bacterial small subunit ribosomal RNA", at positions 1 to 279 of the family's 1533-position model. The record is from RNAcentral. Lineage: Bacteria; Pseudomonadati; Pseudomonadota; Gammaproteobacteria; Enterobacterales; Enterobacteriaceae.
AAAUUGAAGAGUUUGAUCAUGGCUCAGAUUGAACGCUGGCGGCAGGCCUAACACAUGCAAGUCGAACGGUAACAGGAAGCAGCUUGCUGCUUCGCUGACGAGUGGCGGACGGGUGAGUAAUGUCUGGGAAACUGCCUGAUGGAGGGGGAUAACUACUGGAAACGGUAGCUAAUACCGCAUAACGUCGCAAGACCAAAGAGGGGGACCUUCGGGCCUCUUGCCAUCGGAUGUGCCCAGAUGGGAUUAGCUUGUUGGUGGGGUAACGGCUCACCAAGGCGACGA